GAAUUCUCAACCAUCUCUUGAUUCAUUUCGAGACCUGGCUUGGACUUGGGGGUUGCUGGCGGCCUAGGCUGUCGGCUCUCCUGAAAUGCAUUAGCAAAGGGGUGGCUAGUCUAUUUUGACGUGCACGGCCUCGGACGUGAUAAUGAUCGUCGUCGCUGGAGCGUCUUUGGACAUGCAUGAAUCGCUCUUCGCUUCUAAUCAGAUGUUGAUCAAGUCAAGCUGCUAGCUACUAGUCGGUCGCGAGGCUGGCGAACGCGGCGGUUCGACACAUAUGAUCUCAAUUUCGAAACUUGACCUCAAAUCAGGUAGGACUAC
This 315-nucleotide ribosomal RNA is filed under the name Alessioporus ichnusanus. Its description in RNAcentral is "eukaryotic LSU rRNA". The record is from RNAcentral. Lineage: Eukaryota; Fungi; Basidiomycota; Agaricomycetes; Boletales; Boletaceae.